RNAcentral lists this ribosomal RNA (1476 nucleotides) under Triticum aestivum (bread wheat). RNAcentral describes it as "partial small subunit ribosomal RNA". The record is from RNAcentral. Lineage: Eukaryota; Viridiplantae; Streptophyta; Magnoliopsida; Poales; Poaceae.
GCAUAUCCCUCUGCUCUUGUUUCCAUGCAGCCCAUGCCGGCGCAUCGGCGGCCAAACCUCUCCGACGCCGCCGGUGUCUCCGCUGGAGGUGGCGACGACCGGCUCAGCGCGCUGCCGGACGACCUCCUCAUCCACAUCCUCCUCAAGCUCCAGGACGCCCCCGUCGCCGCUCGGACCAGCGUCCUUGCCCGCCGCUGGCGCCGCGUCUGGGCUCUCCUGCCGGAGCUCCAUUUCCCCGAUGGCACUGACUCUGACGGCAUACGCGCCGCCCUCGCCGCCCAUGAUGCGCCGGCCAUCAGCCUUCUCUCCGUUGCCGCCAUCAAGGCCACCCCCGAAUCCGUCGCGGCAUGGCUCCCCAUCGACGCCUGUCGCCUCUCCGGUGUCCUAGAUUUCAGGAACAGGGGGACCAUGGACGAGACCUCGGCCGCCUCUCCUUUGAAGCUGCCUUGCUUUCAGAACGCAACCAAGGUCGUGCUUGAUCUAGAUUCUAUCGGCCUCACCCUGCCGCCUUCCGGCAUAUUUACCCGGCUCGCCGAGCUGGUGCUGAUUAGCAUCCAUCUGCACGGUCCGUGUAGCAUCAGUGAUGUCGUCUCCUCAUCACGGUGUCCAUCUUUGCAGCGGCUUGUCGUCAGCAGUGUCAAGGGUCUGGACAAGUUCACAAUCCACUCAGAGUCUCUCCUAGAAUUGGUGCUGAGUGGUCUCCCUGGCUUGCACCAGCUCAAUGUCGUUGCACUGGCUCUGAAGGACUUAGCAGUACGGGGUUGCUUCACUGAUGCUCUCAAUCGGAGUCAACACAUUGCAAACAUCUCAGCCCCUCAGCUGGUGACACUUGAUUGGAAGAGUUCUUAUGAUCCUAGCUCUGUCCAGCUUGGCGAGAUGGCACAUCUCCAACAGCUGACAACGCAAUAUUUAAUUGUAUAUGGACAAUAUGUAUUUUCUGCACAUAAUCGUCAUUGCUUGAUGCUUCUGCAGCGCUUUGACCACAUCAGGAGACUUGUUCUCUACCUUGUCUAUGCACCGCUUCAAGUCAACGGCCGAUUCUUGAUGGAGGAGAUGACAAACUUUCCUAACAUUACCAGCUUGACACUAAAUGUAGUGGCAUGUAGUCAUUCCUUUGGAGCCAGCUCAUUCCAUGUUCUCAGUAUGUCUAGUGGCGUAAGAGAGCUCGAGAUUAGACUUGUCGACCUGCCGAGCGAACACGAGGCACUCGCUUCUGCAUGCCAAUCAGGUUGCAUUUGUGCCGAGCCAUCAAACUGGGAAACAGAGGAACUCGUCCUCCAUUGCCUCGAAGAAGUAGUAAUCAGUGGCCUGAGAGGAACUGAACAUGAACUCGCUUUUGUGAAAAGGUUAUUCAACUGGACAACAGUGCUAAAGAGGAUGACAGUAAAUUUUCGUGUUUCAAUGACUGAAAGCAACGCCAAAGAGCUUCGCCAGCAGCUAUUAAGCUUCUCUAGGCCAGGAAUAUGUAUGAAAUUC